This 418-nucleotide small RNA is filed under the name uncultured fungus. RNAcentral's name for it is "eukaryotic LSU rRNA". The stretch from base 1 to 89 matches the Rfam family "5.8S ribosomal RNA", at positions 66 to 154 of the family's 154-position model. The record is from RNAcentral. Lineage: Eukaryota; Fungi.
UGUGAAUAGCAGAAUUCAGUGAAUCAUCGAAUCUUUGAACGCACCUUGCGCCCCUUGGCAUUCCGAGGGGCACACCCGUUUGAGUGUCGUGAAAUUCUCAAAACCCUUUCUUUUGGUCAUUCUUUGACCGCGGAAAGGAUUKUGGACUUGGAGGCCUUUGGCUGGUUUCACCUUGAAGCGAGCUCCUCCCAAAUGUAUUAGUGGGGUCUGCAUUCGUCGCGUCCUUGGCGUGAUAAGUUGCUUCUACGUCUUGAGAUUKUUGACGCUGUACACCUGCCUCUAACUGUCUCAUUGACAACGAUAGGUGUUCCGGUCGCCGCCGAUUUUUCGGUGGGAGGCUUGACCCACGAAACAAACCUUGACCUCAAAUCGGGUGAGACUACCCGCUGAACUUAAGCAUAUCAAUAAGCGGAGGAAA